GACAUGUCCCGUGGCCCAUGAAAUCAAGCGUGGGUGAGACCUGGUGCAAAACAGGAAGGCGACCCAUACUUGGUUUCAGAGGCUGCGAGAAUA
Molecule: microRNA precursor, 93 nt
Filed under: Procavia capensis (Cape rock hyrax)
Lineage: Eukaryota; Metazoa; Chordata; Mammalia; Hyracoidea; Procaviidae
Description: miRNA (ENSPCAG00000019657.1)
Rfam family: mir-551 microRNA precursor family (bases 12-85)
Source: RNAcentral